UACGGAGGGUGCGAGCGUUGUCCGGAUUUAUUGGGUUUAAAGGGUGCGUAGGUGGCUGAUUAAGUCAGUGGUGAAAUACAGCCGCUCAACGGUUGAGGUGCCAUUGAUACUGAAUAGCUUGAAAUAAUUGGAGGCUGCCGGAAUGGAUGGUGUAGCGGUGAAAUGCAUAGAUAUCAUCCAGAACACCGAUUGCGAAGGCAGGUGGCUACGAUUUAUUUGACACUGAGGCACGAAAGCAUGGGGAGCAAACAGG
This 253-nucleotide ribosomal RNA is filed under the name uncultured bacterium. Its description in RNAcentral is "partial 16S ribosomal RNA". It matches the Rfam family "Bacterial small subunit ribosomal RNA", at positions 524 to 776 of the family's 1533-position model. The record is from RNAcentral.